Molecule: long non-coding RNA, 3995 nt
Organism: Numida meleagris (helmeted guineafowl)
Lineage: Eukaryota; Metazoa; Chordata; Aves; Galliformes; Numididae
Exons: 5
Source: RefSeq, a predicted model, not a curated record
GCAGCCUCGUGCCGCCCAGCUCCUCCCCUCGUCGCGGCGCUGCAGUUCCCCAGCAGCGCUCAGCGCGGGCGGCGCGCGGCCGCGUGGAACCGCCUCGGGGCGGAGCUGCAGAUCCGCCUGGAGCCGGGGGUCGGGAGGAGGAGCGCGGUCCAGAAGCGUUGGCCAGGGGGUGUCGGCGAGCAGUGAGGGAGGUGUUUAGAACCAAAAUGGCUUCUUGCGCCCCGUGCAAUUUAAGAGACUUUCUGUAUGCAGCUCCUGUCGUUCUUUGCCUAGUGUCGCAAUCUCCAGUUUUGCUCUUACUGUAUUUUCUCUGUGCACGUGUGUUCUUUGCGCCACGCCCUCUGGGAGCGAGGCACGAGGCUGGGCCCCUGAAGGACCCACGGCGUUCGAGUGUCCCGCCUCCAAGUGCCGUGAGACCUUCAGCUCCUGCAGCACCCGGUGGUUCGGAGCUGGCCGGCACAAAUGCAGGUCUUCUUGCAGCCUUUUGCUAGUCGGUGUGCUCAAGGAGAACUGUUCUUAAUCAAGAAUUCGGAGAUGGAAAGUGCAAAACUGUCUAUGGGGUGAGGCGCUUUAUAUUAACCUCUAUUUUAGACACACUACCUCGUUUAAGGGAAAGGGUUUCAGAGGUGGGAGUGCCCUCCAGCCUACACCGUCUGCUCCUGCACACACCUGUGGCUUCAGGCCUCACCAGCCUUGUGGCACUGGAGUUCUGCAGACUAACAAGGCACAGAACCCUGGUCCUUCUGUUUCAUUGGUGGCUUUCUGAAUUCCAAUAUGGCACUUAUUUUGAUGCUGCUUGUGCUACCACUGACUUGUCUCACGGAGAGUCUGCUUUGGAAAUUUCAUGAUUGACGUUUCCAAAUGCUACUAUCUGCUGGAUUUGGAUACCACAGCUGAAACCCCAAGGGAGCCAAGAUACUCCUCCAACGAAGAGGAGUGGGUAACCAUUGCCUACAAGCCAUUCCUAGAUACCUCCAGGCCCUCAGUGCUGCUGCGUGCAUUCUACAUCUCUCUUCUCUCAGAAAAGGAGGGGGGAAGAGGAGAACAGUUGAAAGACAAUUAACUGUGAAAUGUACUGAAUCUCAAGGAGUGAAGCAGUGUGUGCCAUGGAGAAAUAGCCCGAAGCUGCUCUGUACAGAAGAUACGUUCAAGGAAAAACUUGCACUUUUGGGAAAAAAGCUACCACAAACUUAUGGAUUGAGCCAAUUAUCCGUUUUAAUGGGACUGGGUUGCUUUUUGUUAUAUUUGGCAAUAUGAAACACAGAGGACUUGCUUGUUAUUUAUAAUUACCUAUAAUGUGCUUUCAGUUCUAAAUAUAGCGUCUUCAAAUCUCUGGAAAAAAAGAAGGAAGGUUAAUUUUAUUUUUUUUAAAUCUGUUUCCCGGCUCUACCAGGUAGAGUGUGUUUGUUCUAUUGGUCUAAUAUUCUUCAGAGAAAUACUGCAUUUAAUUAUAUCUCCAUUUUAAAAGCAUGCAGAGUUAUAAGCUGAAUGGAAUUGUUUUCACCUGCAUUCUUGGAACUGUACAGGAAUAGGAUGGCAUGAGAUGGAGCAGAGGAGUAGUUCCCUUUGCAAAAAAGACUACACAUGCUCUGUGCUUCACUGACUGUGAUUAGAUUGGACUGCAUGUGCAAUGCUGGGAGUGGGAGGAUCAGGGAGCAGGUUGGUUGGUAUGCAAAAGGCAGAGCACAUGCCCCUAAGGGCGCAUUUCACUCCAUGUGCAGGAUGCUAGGCAGGUCUUAUGGUCAGUCUGCAGGUUAACAUUUGAGCAGGAGGGCAAGGAUGCACCAGCAGGGCUGUGCUCUAACAUGGCAUUACUGGGACAGAGCAGGAGAAGCAGGAUGAGAAAAAAAGCAGGGGAGGAGUUAUAAGAGAAGCUUGGAAAUGUAGAGAGAGGCAUUCUGAAUCCUUUGCGUUUCAUUAGAAGGCUUUUCUAUGGUAUUGUGCUCUGUUAUAAAUGGUUUAUACAGUGCAAAGCAUGAUAAGAGCAAAUACACGUUGUUAUCUGGUUUACUGCAGCCUGGAGAACGCAGUUCUCUCCCCUUGAACCCCCACUACACGAGGAAACGGUCUGAAGCUGAGACUGAAUUUAAACUUUGAAGGCUUAGGGGAUCAUCUGUGACAUCAGUGUCACGGUCCUUCUCAGAGAGUGGACUUUACCCUCCACGAGUAUCACCUCUCCUGAGAGUCAAACAUGUUGCUCAGGGAUUUCCACCGAACAGCUGGUGUGCGGGGAGAACUGCUCGGAGAGGUGGGAGCCAUGGAUCAGCACGGUGGUGGCUGUGCUCGCAGCAUUCUCUCACCACCCUCUGGUCUGCUCUACCCCUCAUUGAAAUAUACAUGUGUUGAACAGGGCUUUGGAGUGGUGAAUCAAAACCAGGUCUGUGGCACUAUUUGUCACCUUUCCCUGUGCUAAUCUCUGACCUUGAAUCAUGUAAAAAAAAAAACAACAACAAAUGUGGCUAAAGAACAGCUGCACCUCUCCCUGGUGCUGUUUGUGUGACCGUUCCACACUGUCAUAGCCCUUAACCUUGUGUUUAAUGUGAAAAGACUGUGCAGUGAAGAUGUGUUUUCAAUGGCAGUGGCUGUUUCACCUUCCUUUCUAGUUUAAUUCACAAGUCAGGACUGCUGCACUCUGCAGUGUGCUGAGAUUAAGGAAAAGGCAGUUAAUAAUGAGAGGGCUCUUGGUGAUGAGACUGAUGGAGCAAGCAGUAGGAGUCAAGGGUGUGUGUGCUGGGGCGCGCAAGAGGAGGGACAGCCUGCAGGAGCAGCUAACAGGCUGCUUUACCUGGGCAGAGGAUUUUGCUUCUUGAAUUCAAUUGUGGAUGCGAAGAGGUUUGUGCCAAAAGGUGGAGCUACAUCCAAAAAAACCACCACAAACACAUUUUUAAAGGUAUUUUAUAGUUUGUUGUUCUGAUUUUGUUAGCAAACUUGUGGAGAGGGGCUUCAGUUUCUUUUCUUUGUCUUUACUUUGACCUUCAUUAAAGCAAAUGCAUGAUCUUGUUAUGAGGUAACGGGUUUGUAGCAGCUAAUUUAUGGUCUCAAAAAAUCAAAUCUUGUGGUUUACAUCCUCAGGGACAAACAGUCAGACCAGAGGCUGCUCCGUGGAUUCCCUGUCCUGGUCAGGAGGGGUGCUGUGUCCAGACCUGAGCAGUGCCUCAGGAUGGUGCCCGCAAUCUUGGCUUGAUAUUUGCUGCCUUUGUCUCUAUUCUUUUCUCUUUGGAGAAAGAGCUCUUCGUGUUGUUCUGUCUGGUUCUGGAAAAUAAGCUGUCUAGGUAGAUUUCUGCAGUGCUGCUUGUAUCUGGGGACUGUUGUGGUGCGUGGCACCAGGGAUGGACACAACCUUGUGGUCGAGCCUGAGGCUGGAUUGAGUGUGAAGCUGAGAGAUGGGGCCAGACACAGGGUACGCACAAGGGUUGUGCUGAUCAUUACCUCUGCCUAGGCAGCACUUCUCCAUCUCUGAGCUGAGGCUGAGUACAGCAGGUUGAACACGUGCUGCUGCGAGAUGCUGGGACCUGGAAAUCUCAUCUUGUCUGAGUUCAUCAGUCCUUCCGAUGCGGAGCGCUGAGUGGAGAGUCCCUGAGGAAGUGCUAGCACGAAGACAGAUUGAUGCUCUCAGAAAUAGGCUGAGGGAAGUCACGACUCACCACACAAUUGCUUUUUUCUGCCUGUCAGCUGCAGUAGAGUGUAGGGCCCACUCAGCUGUGCUGCUGCUCCUUCUGCCUGUGGCAGGGGCUCAGCUGCAGGGCAGGCAGAGCUGCGCUCGCUGGGCUCAGGGCCCUGUCAGGAGAGGACAUUCCUCCUGGACUUGAAUGUGUUUCUGAGUUUGUUUAAUACAGAUUUGCUGUUUUGGUGUGAAAGGAAAACAAAAAGGACAAUGCAUCUCCACAGAGGUAGUGUUUAAGCCUUCCUUCACUCAGGGCUUUUUUUCCUGUCCAAAACUUUGCCAGUUGGUGUCACCUCUGUGCCUGGCAAGAUCCACCUGCAGAGGCCCUACU